Molecule: ribosomal RNA, 492 nt
Filed under: uncultured bacterium
Lineage: Bacteria
Description: partial 16S ribosomal RNA
Rfam family: Bacterial small subunit ribosomal RNA
Source: RNAcentral
AGUGAACGCUGGCGGUAGGCCUAACACAUGCAAGUCGAACGGCAGCACAGUAAGAGCUUGCUCUUACGGGUGGCGGGUGGCGGACGGGUGAGGAAUACAUCGGAAUCUACUUUUUCGUGGGGGAUAACGUAGGGAAACUUACGCUAAUACCGCAUACGACCUACGGGUGAAAGCAGGGGAUCUUCGGACCUUGCGCGAUUGAAUGAGCCGAUGUCGGAUUAGCUAGUUGGCGGGGUAAAGGCCCACCAAGGCGACGAUCCGUAGCUGGUCUGAGAGGAUGAUCAGCCACAUGGGAACUGAGACACGGUCCAGACUCCUACGGGAGGCAGCAGUGGGGAAUAUUGGACAAUGGGCGCAAGCCUGAUCCAGCCAUACCGCGUGGGUGAAGAAGGCCUUCGGGUUGUAAAGCCCUUUUGUUGGGAAAGAAAAGCAGCAGGUUAAUACCCCGCUGUUCCGACGGUACCCAAAGAAUAAGCACCGGCUAACUUCGUG